Non-coding RNA from Xylariaceae sp. FL0804, 92 nucleotides. The record is from the annotation of a GenBank genome assembly. Lineage: Eukaryota; Fungi; Ascomycota; Sordariomycetes; Xylariales; Xylariaceae.
GUCCUGCUGGCGCAAUGGUUAGCGCAUCCGACUUCUAAAUCUCUAGGGAUUCAGUAAUCGGAAGGUUGUCGGUUCGAGUCCGACGUAGGAUG